AUCCCUUUCAAUGGGAGUUGAGGAACUUCGACUGCGUUGCCAAGAUCCCGACUAUGCUUUGGAUGUACCUCCGCGCUCGUGGUCAAGUUCUCGGUCUCGUGAAUGCUCAUGUUGAGGUGGUCCCAUCCGAUAGCGAGGAGGACGACGAAGAAGAGGACAUCGACCCCUCGAAUUGUGUCAAGAAUGAACCCAAGGUAGACGACAAAAAUGAAGCGUCCACUUCGAAUGCUGAAUCGGCGAUGAAGGAGCAUGUUCCUAAACCUCUUCCAUAAAUGUCCCCGAACUUGCUACUUACUUUUUUU
RNAcentral lists this small RNA (302 nucleotides) under Arabidopsis thaliana (thale cress). Its description in RNAcentral is "ATSL092970". Lineage: Eukaryota; Viridiplantae; Streptophyta; Magnoliopsida; Brassicales; Brassicaceae. The record is from RNAcentral.